Molecule: ribosomal RNA, 372 nt
Filed under: uncultured Desulfobulbus sp.
Lineage: Bacteria; Pseudomonadati; Thermodesulfobacteriota; Desulfobulbia; Desulfobulbales; Desulfobulbaceae
Description: bacterial SSU rRNA
Rfam family: Bacterial small subunit ribosomal RNA
Source: RNAcentral
GGCUUCCAUCUGGAGAAUCUGGAGACAGGUGCUGCAUGGCUGUCGUCAGCUCGUGUCGUGAGAUGUUGGGUUAAGUCCCGCAACGAGCGCAACCCUUGCCUUUAGUUGCCAGCAGUUCGGCUGGGCACUCUAAAGGGACUGCCGGUGUUAAACCGGAGGAAGGUGGGGAUGACGUCAAGUCCUCAUGGCCUUUAUGACCAGGGCUACACACGUACUACAAUGGCCGAUACAAAGGGCAGCGACACUGCGAGGUGAAGCCAAUCCCGUAAAAUCGGUCUCAGUCCGGAUUGGAGUCUGCAACUCGACUCCAUGAAGUUGGAAUCGCUAGUAAUCGUGGAUCAGCAUGCCACGGUGAAUACGUUCCCGGGCCUU